GCGUCAGCAGCUCAUAGUCCACUGAAGCCUGCUGUGUUCUCCACAUCCUACUGAGAACCUCAGUGCACUGAGAAGACAAACAGACCAGAGAGACUUUAGUCAAUCAUUGGCUGGACAAGGACAGUGACGGUGCCACAGGAACUAUGCCCACCUGUUCUCCCACACUCAGCCACCGUGCUGCUGGACUCUACAGGUCCUGGACUGGACUGGACUGGACUGAUGGCAACACACACGCACACACAGGAGGAGGAACACUGAGGGACGGACUGAGACCACAGACGGGUCUGGACCUGCCGCUUCGAGGGUCCGGCUUUUAGGAGGAGAGAGUGAAAACACAGCUGACGACAGAGAAGAAAAGGAGGAGGAAGAGGAGGAGGAGGAAGAGGAGGAGGAGGAGACUAAUGUGUGCAUUAAAUGUGGCGUAAAAACCAAAACAAAGAGCUGAAACAAGCUCCCGUGAAGGCUCCGCUCCAGCUGGACCCCGACCCCGACUCCCCCUUCCCUCCGAUGUCACAGGGGGACGCAUUGGCCCCGGGCACGGACCCCCCUGGGGUCAGCCGGUGAUGAGGCCUCACAGACGGCACCAGC
Long non-coding RNA from Cynoglossus semilaevis (tongue sole), 588 nucleotides. RefSeq lists it as uncharacterized. NCBI's taxonomy places the organism in Eukaryota, Metazoa, Chordata, Actinopteri, Pleuronectiformes, Cynoglossidae. The record is from RefSeq and is a predicted model, not a curated record. The transcript has 4 exons.